RNAcentral lists this long non-coding RNA (671 nucleotides) under Setaria viridis. RNAcentral's name for it is "long non-coding RNA (SVIR_LNC000664)". Lineage: Eukaryota; Viridiplantae; Streptophyta; Magnoliopsida; Poales; Poaceae. The record is from RNAcentral.
GCAAUCCUAAUUAUUUUGUGUCGAUUGUCUGUCCUGGUUGGUAAAUUGACCUGAAUGCCCCAAAGGCUGAUAAUAGCUCAUUUUUAUUGUGAAUCUGAGGAGAAGACAAUAAUUCUAAUGCCUUUGGAGUAUGUUAAAUAGAAAUUACAUUACAAUAAUAUGAAAUUCAUAUGAUAGAUUGGUCUAGUAUGGAAACAUCCAUCAUGGGUACAACAACGAAUCAUGAAACCAUAGCGACAACAAUAGCAUCACGCAAUGCACCCAUAUCAAUGUCAUCUCCUAAAGCACCACCACCACCAUCUGUGCUAGGUUGGGUUGAAUUACCAUCAUCUUCCUCAAAAUCCUCUUCAACAUCCACGUCAUGUACGGCACUAUCUCUGAUGAAAUUGUGAAGGGCCAUACAAGCAACUAUAAUUUUCGACUGCUUGUUAACCGGAUAACUGGGCAAAUUCAAGAGAAUGCGCCACUUCAUCUUUAGAACUCCAAAUGAUCGCUCAAUCACAUUUCUAAGGGAUGAAUGUGCAUGAUUAAACACUUCUUUCAAUCCUAUCGGAUGCUGACCAUGCUGCCAUUCAGAAACAUGAUACCUCUGUCCCUUGUAGGGUACAAGAAAUCCUUUUCUAUUAGGAUAUCCAGAGUCAACAAGAUAGUACUUGCCUGCAUGUUAUAUU